CCUACGGGUGGCAGCAGUGAGGAAUAUUGGUCACUGGGCGUAAGCCUGAACCAGCCAAGUCGCGUGAGGGAAGACGGCCCUACGGGUUGUAAACCUCUUUUGCCGGGGAGCAACGCGCGCCACGUGUGGCGCCACUGAGAGUACCCGGAGAAAACGCAUCGGCUAACUCCGUGCCAGCAGCCGCGGUAAUACGGAGGAUGCGAGCGUUAUCCGGAGUUAUUGGGUUUAAAGGGUGCGUAGGCGGAGCGUUAAGUCAGUGGUCAAAUUGAGGGGCUCAACCCCUUUCCGCCAUUGAAACUGGCGAUCUUGAGUGGAAGAGAAGUAUGCGGAAUGCGUGGUGUAGCGGUGAAAUGCAUAGAUAUCACGCAGAAGCCCGAUUGCGAAGGCAGCAUGCCGGCUUCCGACUGACGCUGAAGAACGAAAGCGUGGGGAUCGAACAGGAUUAGAUACCCUAGUAGUC
This 460-nucleotide ribosomal RNA is filed under the name uncultured bacterium. Its description in RNAcentral is "partial 16S ribosomal RNA". It matches the Rfam family "Bacterial small subunit ribosomal RNA", at positions 338 to 795 of the family's 1533-position model. The record is from RNAcentral.